AACCUAGCACACCUGCGGUGUGUACCUGCGGAGGGAUCAUUAAUGAGUGUAAUCUACCCCUUAAAAAAGGGUGGUACCUCCCCGUCCUUUGCAGGCCCUCCCCCCUUUUUUUUGGGGGGGGGCUUUUUAAGACUUUCUGCUUCGGCGGGGUUAUUCCCGCCGGAACACCCUCAAAAAUCUCUCAAAAAAAUCGUUCAGUCCGAGAAAAUUGAAAAUAUAAAAAAAACUUUUAGCAACGGA
RNAcentral lists this unclassified non-coding RNA (240 nucleotides) under soil metagenome. RNAcentral describes it as "partial contains 5.8S ribosomal RNA, internal transcribed spacer 2, and large subunit ribosomal RNA". The record is from RNAcentral.